Molecule: ribosomal RNA, 854 nt
Filed under: Zasmidium queenslandicum
Lineage: Eukaryota; Fungi; Ascomycota; Dothideomycetes; Mycosphaerellales; Mycosphaerellaceae
Description: LSU rRNA
Rfam family: Eukaryotic large subunit ribosomal RNA
Source: RNAcentral
AUUGCCCUAGUAACGGCGAGUGAAGCGGCAACAGCUCAAAUUUGAAACCUGGCGCAAGCCCGGAUUGUAAUUUGUAGAGGAUGCUUCUGGGCAGCGGCCGUUCUAAGUUCCUUGGAACAGGACGUCAUAGAGGGUGAGAAUCCCGUAUGUGACCGGCGCGCACCCUCCACGUAGCUCCUUCGACGAGUCGAGUUGUUUGGGAAUGCAGCUCUAAAUGGGUGGUAAAUUCCAUCUAAAGCUAAAUAUUGGCCAGAGACCGAUAGCGCACAAGUAGAGUGAUCGAAAGAUGAAAAGCACUUUGGAAAGAGAGUUAAAAAGCACGUGAAAUUGUUGAAAGGGAAGCGCUUACAACCAGACUCCGCGGCGGUGUUCCGCCGGUCUUCUGACCGGUCUACUCGCCGCCGUGGGGCCAACAUCGUCUGGGGCCGCCGGAUAAGACCGUAGGAAUGUAGCUCAUUGAGUGUUAUAGCCUGCGGUGAUGCGGCGCGCCCCGGGCGAGGUCCGCGCUUCGGCAAGGAUGUUGGCGUAAUGGUUGUCAGCGGCCCGUCUUGAAACACGGACCAAGGAGUCUAACAUCUAUGCGAGUGUUCGGGUGUCAAACCCCUACGCGUAAUGAAAGUGAACGGAGGUGGGAAGCUUCGGCUGCACCAUCGACCGAUCCUGAUGUCCUCGGAUGGAUUUGAGUAAGAGCAUAGCUGUUGGGACCCGAAAGAUGGUGAACUAUGCCUGAAUAGGGUGAAGCCAGAGGAAACUCUGGUGGAGGCUCGCAGCGGUUCUGACGUGCAAAUCGAUCGUCAAAUUUGGGUAUAGGGGCGAAAGACUAAUCGAACCAUCUAGUAGCUGGUUCCUGCCGA